AUUGAACGCUGGCGGCAGGCCUAACACAUGCAAGUCGAGCGGCAGCGGGAAAGUAGCUUGCUACUUUUGCCGGCGAGCGGCGGACGGGUGAGUAAUGCCUGGGAAAUUGCCCAGUCGAGGGGGAUAACAGUUGGAAGUGACUGCUAAUACCGCAUACGCCCUACGGGGGAAAGCAGGGGACCUUCGGGCCUUGCGCGAUUGGAUAUGCCCAGGUGGGAUUAGCUAGUUGGUGAGGUAAUGGCUCACCAAGGCGACGAUCCCUAGCUGGUCUGAGAGGAUGAUCAGCCACACUGGAACUGAGAAACGGUCCAGACUCCGACGGGAGGCAGCAGUGGGGAAUAUUGCACAAUGGGGGAAACCCUGAUGCAGCCAUGCCGCGUGUGUGAAGAAGGCCUUCGGGUUGUAAAGCACUUUCAGCGAGGAGGAAAGGUUGAUGCCUAAUACGUAUCAACUGUGACGUUACUCGCAGAAGAAGCACCGGCUAACUCCGUGCCAGCCGCCGCCGUAA
This 508-nucleotide ribosomal RNA is filed under the name uncultured bacterium. RNAcentral describes it as "partial 16S ribosomal RNA". It matches the Rfam family "Bacterial small subunit ribosomal RNA", at positions 30 to 523 of the family's 1533-position model. The record is from RNAcentral.